RNAcentral lists this ribosomal RNA (265 nucleotides) under Clostridioides difficile. RNAcentral's name for it is "partial 16S ribosomal RNA". It matches the Rfam family "Bacterial small subunit ribosomal RNA", at positions 935 to 1199 of the family's 1533-position model. Lineage: Bacteria; Bacillati; Bacillota; Clostridia; Peptostreptococcales; Peptostreptococcaceae. The record is from RNAcentral.
GAGCAUGGGGUUUAAUUCGAAGCAACGCGAAGAACCUUACCUAAGCGUGACAUCCCAAUGACAUCUCCUUAAUCGGAGAGUGCCCUUCGGGGACAUUGGUGACAGGUGGUGCAUGGUUGUCGUCAGCUCGUGUCGUGAGAUGUUGGGUUAAGUCCCGCAACGAGCGCAACCCUUGUCUUUAGUUGCCAUCAUUAAGUUGGGCACUCUAGAGAGACUGCCAGGGAUAACCUGGAGGAAGGUGGGGAUGACGUCAAAUCAUCAUGCC